This is a non-coding RNA of Ictidomys tridecemlineatus (thirteen-lined ground squirrel), 827 nucleotides long. The record is from RefSeq and is a predicted model, not a curated record. NCBI's taxonomy places the organism in Eukaryota, Metazoa, Chordata, Mammalia, Rodentia, Sciuridae.
UUUAUGCCUAGAACCUCAUUAAUGAAACCACUGCGCAGGCCGCAUGGUAGACUGCUCCCCAGAAGCAACACUGUCGCUGGUUUCUGAGGCGUCUGUAUUUGUCUCCUGUUGCUGCUGUAACAAAUAGCCACAAAUCUAGUAGCUUAAAAUGAACACAAGUUGGUUACCCUUGACUUCUGUGGAUCCCAAGUCCCACACAGGCUCACCCACGAAAAUCAAGGUGCCACCAGGGCCACGCUCCUUCGUGGACGUCAGGGGAGAAUCUGUUUGCUUCCCUUCUGCAGUUUCCAGAGUCCUGAGUUCCUCUGCUCUGAUCUUCAAAGCCAGCCAUCAUUCCUCUGGCCUCCCCCUUCCAGCCCAACGGUUUUCCAGGCUCCAGGGACUGGGAUGUAGAUAUCUUCAGGGGACAUUGUCUUGCCUACCAACGUAUCCCUAAGAAACGAUGCAGCCAGGUGUGGUGGCAUGUGCCUGUCACCCAGUGACUCUGGAGACUUACAAGUUCAAGGAGGACUCUGGAGGAUUGCCAAGUUCAAGGCCAGCCUCAGUGAACCAGAGACCUGGUCUCCAAAUAAAGAGAGGGCUGGGGAUAUAACUCAGUGUCCGGCGCCCCUCGUCAGUCCCCGGUACCACAGGAAACAAAAGAAAGAACCCAUCUAUGCCUACAGAAGAAAAUAAGUAUUUUAAUUUAAAACAUCAUAAAGAGCAGCAUUGUGUAGUGGCCUACACCUAAUUUCAACCGACGGAAUGAGCAGCCCAUUAAUUGCCUUGGAUUAUGACCAUCAUUUAUUUUUAAGGAAAUAGAAUGCACGGCACAUGAUAAGAACUGA